UACAGAGGAUGCAAGCGUUAUCCGGAAUGAUUGGGCGUAAAGCGUCUGUAGGUGGCUUUUUAAGUCCGCCGUCAAAUCUCACGGCUUAACUGUGAGCGUGCGGGCGAUACGGGCAGACUAGAGUACUGCAGGGGAGGCUGGAAUUCCUGGUGUAGCGGUGGAAUGCGCAGAUAUCAGGAGGAACACCGGUGGCGAAGGCGGGUCUCUGGGCAGUAACUGACGCUGAGGAGCGAAAGCGUGGGGAGCGAACAGG
This 253-nucleotide ribosomal RNA is filed under the name uncultured bacterium. RNAcentral describes it as "partial 16S ribosomal RNA". It matches the Rfam family "Bacterial small subunit ribosomal RNA", at positions 524 to 776 of the family's 1533-position model. The record is from RNAcentral.